RNAcentral lists this microRNA precursor (103 nucleotides) under Marmota monax (woodchuck). The record is from RNAcentral. Lineage: Eukaryota; Metazoa; Chordata; Mammalia; Rodentia; Sciuridae.
AAUGAGAUAGCUGGGUCAAAUGGUUGUUCCAUUCCCAGUUUUCUGAGGAAUCUCCACGCUGCUUUUCAGAGUAGUUAUACCAACUUGCAGUCCCACCAGCAAU